RNAcentral lists this ribosomal RNA (432 nucleotides) under uncultured Streptococcus sp. Its description in RNAcentral is "bacterial SSU rRNA". It matches the Rfam family "Bacterial small subunit ribosomal RNA", at positions 950 to 1382 of the family's 1533-position model. The record is from RNAcentral. Lineage: Bacteria; Bacillati; Bacillota; Bacilli; Lactobacillales; Streptococcaceae.
UUCGAAGCAACGCGAAGAACCUUACCAGGUCUUGACAUCCCGAUGCUAUUUCUAGAGAUAGAAAGUUACUUCGGUACAUCGGUGACAGGUGGUGCAUGGUUGUCGUCAGCUCGUGUCGUGAGAUGUUGGGUUAAGUCCCGCAACGAGCGCAACCCCUAUUGUUAGUUGCCAUCAUUCAGUUGGGCACUCUAGCGAGACUGCCGGUAAUAAACCGGAGGAAGGUGGGGAUGACGUCAAAUCAUCAUGCCCCUUAUGACCUGGGCUACACACGUGCUACAAUGGUUGGUACAACGAGUUGCGAGUCGGUGACGGCGAGCUAAUCUCUUAAAGCCAAUCUCAGUUCGGAUUGUAGGCUGCAACUCGCCUACAUGAAGUCGGAAUCGCUAGUAAUCGCGGAUCAGCACGCCGCGGUGAAUACCGUUCCCGGGCCUU